GACGAACGCUGGCGGCGUGCCUAAUACAUGCAAGUCGAGCGCAGGAAAUCGAUGGAACCCUUCGGGGGGAAGUCGACGGAAUGAGCGGCGGACGGGUGAGUAACACGUAAAGAACCUGCCCUCAGGUCUGGGAUAACCACGAGAAAUCGGGGCUAAUGCCGGAUGGGUCAUCGGACCGCAUGGUCCGAGGAUGAAAGGCGCUUCGGCGUCGCCUGGGGAUGGCUUUGCGGUGCAUUAGCUAGUUGGUGGGGUAAUGGCCCACCAAGGCGACGAUGCAUAGCCGACCUGAGAGGGUGAUCGGCCACACUGGGACUGAGACACGGCCCAGACUCCUACGGGAGGCAGCAGUAGGGAAUCUUCCACAAUGGACGAAAGUCUGAUGGAGCAACGCCGCGUGAACGAUGAAGGCCUUCGGGUCGUAAAGUUCUGUUGUAAGGGAAGAACAAGUGCCGCAGGCAAUGGCGGCACCUUGACGGUACCUUGCGAGAAAGCCACGGCUAACUACGUGCCAGCAGCCGCCGUAC
This 524-nucleotide ribosomal RNA is filed under the name uncultured bacterium. RNAcentral's name for it is "partial 16S ribosomal RNA". It matches the Rfam family "Bacterial small subunit ribosomal RNA", at positions 28 to 523 of the family's 1533-position model. The record is from RNAcentral.